GACAUGUGAGGCAAGCGUUGUUCGGAAUCACUGGGCAUAAAGGGUGCGUAGGCGGCUUGUUAAGUCAGAGGUGAAAGUUUUCGGCCCAACCGGAAAAUGGCCUUUGAUACUGGCGAGCUGGAGUGCGUGAGGGGUGACUGGAACGAGUGGUGUAGCGGUGAAAUGCGUAGAUAUCACUCGGAAGGCCAAAGGCGAAGGCAGGUCACUGGUACGCAACUGACGCUGAGGCACGAAAGCGUGGGGAGCAAACAGG
RNAcentral lists this ribosomal RNA (253 nucleotides) under uncultured bacterium. RNAcentral describes it as "partial 16S ribosomal RNA". It matches the Rfam family "Bacterial small subunit ribosomal RNA", at positions 524 to 776 of the family's 1533-position model. The record is from RNAcentral.